AUGGCACAGAUUCCAAACCUCGAUAACGCCGCGCUCAAUCUUACUGCCCUGAGGGAGCAGUCACAGAAGGAACUUCUCAGCAUAAUCAAGAGUAUUAGGGGGAAGAAGUGUCUGGUCAUUGAUCCGAAGCUUGCGGGUACCCUCUCGCUGAUCCUGCAGACCUCGGUGCUAAAGGAAUAUGGCACGGAGCUGCGGAUCCUCUCUGCUGACCCUCUUCAGACGGAAUGCCCCAAAGUGGUGUAUCUUGUUCGCUCCCAGCUGAACUUCAUGAAAUUUGUGGCUAAUCAAAUUAAGAAUGACGAAUCCAAAGGGCUCCAGAGGGAAUACCACCUCUAUUUUGUACCACGCCGUAUAGUUGCCUGUGAGAAGAUUCUGGAGGAAGAGAAAGUUCAUCAAAAGUUGACAAUCGGAGAGUAUCCCUUGUAUCUAGUUCCUUUGGACGAGGAUGUCCUUUCUUUGGAGCUUGACUAUUCCUUGCAGGAAUGCCUUAUUGAAGGAGAUACAAGUUCUGUCUGGCAUGUUGCAAAAGCUAUCCAUAAGUUAGAGUUUGCCUUCGGGGUUAUCCCCAAUAUUAGAGCCAAGGGUGUAGCAUCAACCAAAGCUGCAGAAUUGCUGAACCAUAUGCAACUCGAAGACCCGGUCAGCAUGGAUAAUAUGGGGAUUCCAGAGAUAGACACCGUUAUUUUGCUAGAUAGAGAGGUGGAUAUGGUGACACCAAUGUGCUCUCAGCUAACGUAUGAAGGUCUAUUAGACGAGAUGUUGGAAAUUCAUAAUGGAUCUGUGGAAGUUGACGCCAGCAUUAUGGGUGCUCAACAAGAUGGAAAAAAGGUCAAGGUUCCACUCAAUUCAAGUGAUAAGUUGUACAAGGAGAUUCGAGACCUCAACUUGCAUGUUGUAGUUCAGGUCGUCCGCCAAAAGGCAACGUCUAUUCAGCAAGAUUAUGCAGAAGUAAAAUCAACGAAUACACAGUCGGUUUCUGAGCUGAAGGAUUUUGUGAAGAGGUUACACUCGCUACCGGAGAUAGCUAGGCAUGUUAACUUGGCACAACAUUUGCAAUCAUUUGCGGCAAAACCCGCAUUUCAUGCCCGAGUAGAGAUUGAGCAAAUAAUACUGGAGGCGCAGACCUAUGAAACGUGUUACGAGUACAUUGAGGAGAUUAUACAGAAGCAAGAGCCUAUUGAAACUGUACUUCGCCUUCUAGUGUUAUUUUCCCUUACAAAUGCUGGGUUGCCGAAGAAGAAUUUUGACUACUUGAGGCGGGAAAUACUGCACAGUUAUGGCUUUGAGCAUAUGCCCUUGUUAUACAAUCUGGAAAAAGCUGGCCUUGUUAAAAGGCAGGAAUCGAGGACUAAUUGGCCUGUUAUUAGUAGAGCUCUCCAGCUUAUAGUUGAUAUAAAGGAUCCUGAAAACCCUGAUGAUAUAGCAUACAUCUUUGCUGGAUAUGCACCUCUUAGUAUUCGCCUGGUUCAGCAUGCAGUGAGGUCUGGAUGGCGAUCUAUUGAAGAACUGUUGAAAUUAUUGCCAGGUCCUCAUAUGGAUUUGAAAAGAGGUGUCUCGACCAUUAGUUCAUCAGAAUUACUACCAGGUUCCGGGUCACAACAGAGUACCGACAGGGUUGGUCAUCGCUCCCUGGUUCUGGUUGUAUUUAUUGGUGGUGUAACAUCUGCUGAGAUUGCUGCGCUUCGAUUUCUUAGUGCACAGGAAGGAAUGGGCUAUGACUUCCUGGUUGCAACAACAAAGGUUAUCACUGGCAACACAUUACUGAGACCAAUUAUAGCCAGCAGCAAAGAGGGAAUGAUUUAG
This 1803-nucleotide ribosomal RNA is filed under the name Triticum aestivum (bread wheat). Its description in RNAcentral is "partial small subunit ribosomal RNA". Lineage: Eukaryota; Viridiplantae; Streptophyta; Magnoliopsida; Poales; Poaceae. The record is from RNAcentral.